AUGAUGCAGGCGCAUGAUGAGGACUACGAGGCGGACAAGUAUGAGGACCCAGACAUGCGGGACUCCAUGACAGGACAUUGUCGAGUUCAGCACAACCGUGGUGAUGCCCUGGUGCCCUCUUUAGAAGAGGAUUGUGGUGCUCAAACGCAGCACCAACCAGAUCGAUCAACCUCUGGCCAUGUAGGAGACCUGCUUGUCCGGACUGUGGUCAGGGAUGUUGGUCCCAGUGUUGGGUGGCCUACCCUCACUAAAACCAACUACGUCGAGUGGGCCGGGAUCAUGAAGGUCAGGCUCCAGGUGUGGCGCAUGUGGGAGGCAGUCCAGGACAGCAACGUCGACCACCUAGAGGAUCGACGGGCGCUGGACGCCCUCAUCGCCGCAGUCCCGUCCGAGAUGCAGUUCUCGCUUUCCAACAAACGGACUGCCAAGGAGGCUUGGGACGCCAUCGCCGCAGCACGCAUCGGCAGCGACCGUGCUCGCAAGUCCACCCUGCAGGCACUUCGUAAGGAGUGGGAGAACCUGGGCUUCAAGCCAAGUGAGGACGUUGAUGACUUUGCUCUCCGUCUCAACACUUUGCUGCAAAAGAUGGUGAAGUUUGGCGAUGCCACCUAUACCAAGGAGAGAGCUGUCGAGAAGCUUUUUUGGUGCAUUCCCGAGAAGUACAAGCAGAUGGCUCGCUCGAUCGAGUCGUUGCUGGACCUUUCCACGAUGAAGAUCGAGGAGGCGAUAGGCCGUCUCAAGGUCGUCGACACCGACGAGCCACAGCCCCCCUCGGGGCCCAUCACCACCGGUGGGAAGCUGCUCCUAACUCGGGAGCAGUGGGAUCCCAGCCUUGGUGACAGGAAGAAGGGGGAGCCUUCCCCCUCGACGGGCGGCCGCAAGCGUGGCAAGCAGCGUAAGGCGCGAAGAGGCCCCCCGGGCAGGGCACAAGGACGUGCCGAAGGUGACGCCCGCGGAGGCGCCAAGGACGGCGCCGCUGGCAAGCCCAAGCCGGCACAAGACAGCAGUUGCCACAACUGUGGCCGGUUUGGCCAUUGGGCCAAUGAGUGUCGGCAACCACGACAAGGCCAGGCUCACGUCGCACAGGCGAAGGAGGAGGAGACGACUCUCUGCGUCGUAACCUCCAUGUCCCGCUACUAUGGCUGGAUGGACUACCUACUCCUCGUGCACUACCUUAGCUUCCGACAUUGCAUGAUGAUGGUCUGGCUGCAACCAUGGCAGUGGUGCCCCCCAUCCUCCUCCCCUCACAGCGGCUGUGACGUGCCACUCGUAAUCCUACCAGGACAAUCAGGAGCCCCAGAUGCCGAGGAUCAACUUCAGAUUCUCCCGUUUUGUGAUUAUAUGACUAACCCAAGAUGCAUGCAUCUGUCCACAUACGCGCCUCCCAAGUUGUUUAACAAGGAAGUAGAUCCUUCAGGACAUAUGAGAAAACAGCAUGAGCUCUGCAUUGUCAUUUCAGUAGGGGAGAAAUUGUACAAGACUGAAGCAAAACAGCCGAAGAAACAAGAGAAAAAGAAGUCAGAAACUAAAUCUGAAACUGUGCAAACAGUUCGGCUAUACACAGUCAGGGCGCCUGAGCAGCAGCCAGAAAACAGCACUGGCCAGGAACCAAGUUUUCUUUGCACAAGGACAAUCCAGAGAAAGGUGGGUGGCCGACGCGAUUGUUUGGUCGCAGUUGGAGCAAACAUCAUGGUUGCAGCAUCUCUGAAUGUAGCGGGUUCAACAAGUUUGGCAGUAAACCAGCAGCACAAGCCACUGCAUCUCCCACAUGAUCUCUCAACACAGCCCCACCAGCCUCCAUUACAUUCGUUUGGUUUGGACGAGCCAUCGAUGUUCAUUUCAAUCCAGCCAGCCGGCGGUGGUUAG
This 1866-nucleotide ribosomal RNA is filed under the name Triticum aestivum (bread wheat). RNAcentral's name for it is "partial small subunit ribosomal RNA". Lineage: Eukaryota; Viridiplantae; Streptophyta; Magnoliopsida; Poales; Poaceae. The record is from RNAcentral.